Olea europaea var. sylvestris is the source of this 703-nucleotide long non-coding RNA. RefSeq lists it as uncharacterized. NCBI's taxonomy places the organism in Eukaryota, Viridiplantae, Streptophyta, Magnoliopsida, Lamiales, Oleaceae. The transcript is spliced from 3 exons. The record is from RefSeq and is a predicted model, not a curated record.
UUUAAACUUUCUUGGUAGCUCUUUAUUCUGAUUUGUUUGCAAUUCCUUUUGCCUUAUUUGUGCUUGUAUCCACCAGUUUUGCUGCGCCUGACAUUAUUUCUACAAGUGGUGUUUAAGUUGGCCAAGUUUGCUUCUUCACACUCACUUUUUUACUACAAUACUGAGUGUUAAUGUUAACCUUUUGUUGACACCUGGUCAUCUUAUAUUCUUUUGUAUCUAAAUUUCUGAAGUAGUUUCUCUAUUUCCAGAAAUUUGUCGCCACUCAAGAUCCAAUACUGCGGCAGCUUUAUGACGAUGGCCUAAAUGUUAUCCUUGCUAUUCUGAAUAUAAAGAAAUUGUCAGAAAUUAUAAGUUCUUCACUUGUUAUUGAAGCACUCCAACAUGUGCUUCAGAGGUUUAGUGAGAUCUUAUUGUCAAGUUCUUUAAAUUACACUUCUCUACCUUGUGAUACUGCUCUAUUGUGCCUGCAACAACUGAUUAUGAGUUUUAAAGAUCUUGAAGAAUAUGCAUCGAACAUAGCAAUGUCAAUUUUCCCAUUAAUUCUAAUUCUACCCAAGACGUGGAGAUUGAAUCUGAAGGCACUGGAAUUAGCUAAGGAGUUAAAAUGGUCUCUUUAUGGGAAUCUUGUCAAUCUUUCUGGUCGAGAGAAGGUAAGUUGAUUUUCCAUAGGCAAGCUUAUAUGUAAUAUCCCUUGCAUUUGUAU